GGAUGAACGCUGGCGGCGUGCCUAAUCCAUGCAAGUCGAGCGAACAGACGAGGAGCUUGCUCCUCUGACGUUUGCGGCGGACGGGUGAGUAACACGUGGAUAACCUACCUAUAAGACUGGGAUAACUUCGGGAAACCGGAGCUAAUACCGGAUAAUAUAUUGAACCGCAUGGUUCAAUAGUGAAAGACGGUUUUGCUGUCACUUAUAGAUGGAUCCGCGCCGCAUUAGCUAGUUGGUAAGGUAACGGCUUACCAAGGCAACGAUGCGUAGCCGACCUGAGAGGGUGAUCGGCCACACGGGAACAGAGGCAGGGUACAGACUCCGACGGGAGGAAGCAGUAGGGAAUCUUACGCAAGGGGCGAAAGCGUGACGGAGCAACGCCGCGUGAGUGAUGAAGGUCUUCGGAUCGUAAAACUAUGUUAUUAGGGAAGAACAAAUGUGUAAGUAACUAUGAAGGUCUUGACGGUACCGAAUCAGAAAGCCACGGCUAACUACGUG
Molecule: ribosomal RNA, 498 nt
Filed under: uncultured bacterium
Lineage: Bacteria
Description: partial 16S ribosomal RNA
Rfam family: Bacterial small subunit ribosomal RNA
Source: RNAcentral